CCGGCGGGAAGGGACCUGGGGCUUGCUCCGCUUCGCUUCGCCUCUGCUGCAAGGAAGGACUUUAUCACAAAGCAGGCGCCUAGGGCUAAGGAAAGCCAGGGGGGUCUUGCUUCUUUGAGCCGGACAGCAGGGAGGAGGGCCCUUCUUCUGCAUAUUUGCUUCCUGGGACAAGGCUCCAGAGAGGACCCUUCAAACACUUUGGGUUGGUCCAAAAAGAAUUGGCACCCCAGAAGCCUCUGCCAGACUCCGAGAGAGUGAACCACCUGCCUUUCAACCCUCCCGAGUUGCCUUGGAUACCAAGAAAGGGAGCUUGUCGGAUAUGAAGACAGAAGAAAUGGUGACCCACCCCACGGAGGUAACACAGCCAGUGAUCACUUCUUAUAGAUUACAAAGGAAGCCUGAGAACACACCCUGCUGUCUUUUGGGGGACAUGGGCUUCCUGCUGUGCUCCAGUUAGAGGAAAUGCAGUCUACGAGCCCAGGCUGCCUGGCAGGCUCUCUGAACUGCCCCAAUAUCCUCGGACCUAAUCAAUCUAUUCCAGCAU
This 544-nucleotide long non-coding RNA is filed under the name Mus pahari (shrew mouse). RNAcentral's name for it is "lncRNA (MGP_PahariEiJ_G0003218.1)". Lineage: Eukaryota; Metazoa; Chordata; Mammalia; Rodentia; Muridae. The record is from RNAcentral.